ACCAUGCAGCCGAGCGGUAUGAUUCUUUCGGGAAUCAGAGAGCGGCGUACGGGUGCGGAACACGUGUGCAACCUGCCUUUAUCUGGGGGAUAGCCUUUCGAAAGGAAGAUUAAUACCCCAUAAUAUAUUGAGUGGCAUCACUUAAUAUUGAAAACUCCGGUGGAUAGAGAUGGGCACGCGCAAGAUUAGAUAGUUGGUGGGGUAACGGCCUACCAAGUCGAUGAUCUUUAGGGGGCCUGAGAGGGUGAUCCCCCACACUGGUACUGAGACACGGACCAGACUCCUACGGGAGGCAGCAGUGAGGAAUAUUGGACAAUGGGUGCAAGCCUGAUCCAGCCAUCCCGCGUGAAGGACGACGGCCCUAUGGGUUGUAAACUUCUUUUGUACAGGGAUAAACCUAGAUACGUGUAUCUAGCUGAAGGUACUGUACGAAUAAGCACCGGCUAACUCCGUGCCAGCAGCCGCGGUAAUACGGAGGGUGCAAGCGUUAUCCGGAUUUAUUGGGUUUAAAGGGUCCGUAGGCGGAUCAGUAAGUCAGUGGUGAAAUCUCAUAGCUUAACUAUGAAACUGCCAUUGAUACUGCUGGUCUUGAGUAAGGUAGAAGUAGCUGGAAUAAGUAGUGUAGCGGUGAAAUGCAUAGAUAUUACUUAGAACACCAAUUGCGAAGGCAGGUUACUAUGUCUUAACUGACGCUGAUGGACGAAAGCGUGGGGAGCGAACAGGAUUAGAUACCCUGGUAGUCCACGCUGUAAACGAUGCUAACUCGUUUUUGGGUUUUCGGAUUCAGAGACUAAGCGAAAGUGAUAAGUUAGCCACCUGGGGAGUACGAAACGCAAGUUUGAAACUCAAAGGAAUUGACGGGGGCCCGCACAAGCGGUGGAUUAUGUGGUUUAAUUCGAUGAUACGCGAGGAACCUUACCAAGGCUUAAAUGGGAAUUGAUCGGUUUAGAAAUAGACCUUCCUUCGGGCAAUUUUCAAGGUGCUGCAUGGUUGUCGUCAGCUCGUGCCGUGAGGUGUUAGGUUAAGUCCUGCAACGAGCGCAACCCCUGUCACUAGUUGCCAUCAUUAAGUUGGGGACUCUAGUGAGACUGCCUACGCAAGUAGAGAGGAAGGUGGGGAUGACGUCAAAUCAUCACGGCCCUUACGCCUUGGGCCACACACGUAAUACAAUGGCCGGUACAGAGGGCAGCUACACAGCGAUGUGAUGCAAAUCUCGAAAGCCGGUCUCAGUUCGGAUUGGAGUCUGCAACUCGACUCUAUGAAGCUGGAAUCGCUAGUAAUCGCGCAUCAGCCAUGGCGCGGUGAAUACGUUCCCGGCCCCUGUACCCCCGCCCGUCAAGCCAUGGAAGUCUGGGGUACCUGAAGUGCGGUGACCGUAAAAGGAGCUGCC
This 1390-nucleotide ribosomal RNA is filed under the name Chryseobacterium daecheongense. RNAcentral describes it as "bacterial SSU rRNA". It matches the Rfam family "Bacterial small subunit ribosomal RNA". The record is from RNAcentral. Lineage: Bacteria; Pseudomonadati; Bacteroidota; Flavobacteriia; Flavobacteriales; Weeksellaceae.